UCGUAAAAGUUCGGAUUUUAACCGACAGAUAGUGACACUCUCAAAGAUGAAUAAGUAAAUUAAAAUGUCACUGUGUCUCUUUAAAAAAGAAGUAAAGAAAGGAAAGAAAAAAGAAAAAUAAUGGAAACUUAUUAGAGAGCGCAUAGAAGCGUCGUACGUUUGAACGUAUAUAGAAAAACAACAUUCUUACUCUCUUCUUAUGGAACACGUAACAGGAACAAGUUUGGAAGUCAUUGAUCUUAAUACUGGUGCAACGCUAGGACCCAAAGCUGCAAUAGCCGCUCCUAAAGAAAUAGUUAUGAAAAAGAGAUAGCGAAAGAAACGUCUUCCCGCAUGAAACUAACGUGUGAAAUGAUCGUCGGUGCCGAUCGUCACUUGUCGAUAGGUCUCGUUACUCUUCGGGACCCAUCGGCCUUGUUCGGCGAUACGAAUGCUCACGUUGACUCCAGUCAGUCGACGCCAUGUUUGUUCGUGAGUCCCGCUACCGACAUGACACGUGUGAUUACGUUCUCUCUUAAUUACAGGUAGAAACACGUCACCAAUGUCGUUGUAUUGUCCCAACUACGAGUUCGUUGAUUACGUUGAUACGAAUUCUAGGCGUAGAUUCGUAGCAUAGGUCAGAUUCACGACACUAUUCGCAUAGUAAUCGCCUAGGGGUAAUCAUAACUAUCGAAGAGAAGAAGAGAAUCCAUCGCAAUUCGUGACGACAGAGAAGGAAGAAGAAAAGGAGGUGGUGAAGAAGGAGGAGGAGGAGAAAUAAGAAAGAAGAAAGAAGAAAGUUCGAAGACACGAAAAAAGUUUAGAAAAAUUUCAUCGGAGUUUUGUUCGAUAUAUGUAGGACAUAUUUACUCUGCUUUUAUAUAGGAGUCUCUCCCGUGGAAGGUUCCAAAGAUUGACCAAAGAGCAAAGAAGAAAUGAGGUCGACGAUGACGACGAUGACGACGACGAGAAAUUCCUUGUUGAAUCUCACAAGAGAGAAAAGGAGACCAAUGUAAAAAGGUAGAGGAGAAGUAUACAGGGUAGUCGUGACGGGGUUAGGUCGCAGGAAAGAGUAGUUUUCUCCCUACUUUCGCCAUUAGUUUUUCCCUCGAUAGACCUUGUACGCGAAUGGAAUAACCGAGUCGGUGACUGCUACUGCUGUUGCUCUUGCUAUUGCUAUUGCUGUUGCUAUAGCCUUUGGUUAAACACACACACAUACACACACACUUUUGUAAACGAUAAUUAAAUUGGAUGAGGACUCUUGAUGGCCACUUUCUCUUCUUGGUAUAUAGAAAAGUUUGCGCAUUAAAAACUCACGUGUGCGAGAAUAAAAAUUGUCCAUCUUUUUACUUCUUU
Vespula pensylvanica (western yellowjacket) is the source of this 1335-nucleotide long non-coding RNA. RefSeq lists it as uncharacterized. The record is from RefSeq and is a predicted model, not a curated record. The transcript is spliced from 5 exons. Lineage: Eukaryota; Metazoa; Arthropoda; Insecta; Hymenoptera; Vespidae.